Molecule: microRNA precursor, 83 nt
Filed under: Guillardia theta CCMP2712
Lineage: Eukaryota; Cryptophyceae; Pyrenomonadales; Geminigeraceae
Description: microRNA mir-598
Source: RNAcentral
UGGUGAUGAUGAUGAUGAUGAUGGUGGUGGUCAUGAUGGUGAAGGAGAGGCCAUCACCACCACCACCACCAUCGCUACCUAGA